AUUGAACGCUGGCGGCAGGCCUAACACAUGCAAGUCGAGCGGAGAGGCGGACGGGUGAGUAAUGUCUGGGAAACUGCCUGAUGGUGGGGGAUAACGUCCGGAAAAGGGCGCUAAUACCGCAUACUAUCAGAUGAGCCUAGGUCGGAUUAGCUAGUUGGUGGGGUAAAGGCCUACCAAGGCGACGAACCGGAACUGGUCUGAGAGGAUGAUCAGUCACACUGGAACGCAGACACGGUCCAGACUCCUACGGUAGGCAGCAUGGGGGAAUAUUGGAUAAUGGGCUAAAGCCUGAUCCAGCCAUUCCGCGUGUGUGAAGAAGGUCUUCGGAUUGUAAAGCACUUUAAGUUGGGAGGCGUUACCAACAGAAUAAGCACCGGCUAACGUCGUGCCAGCAGCCGCGGUAAUUC
Molecule: ribosomal RNA, 407 nt
Filed under: uncultured bacterium
Lineage: Bacteria
Description: partial 16S ribosomal RNA
Rfam family: Bacterial small subunit ribosomal RNA
Source: RNAcentral